RNAcentral lists this long non-coding RNA (2106 nucleotides) under Gigantopelta aegis. Its description in RNAcentral is "uncharacterized LOC121388411". Lineage: Eukaryota; Metazoa; Mollusca; Gastropoda; Neomphalida; Peltospiridae. The record is from RNAcentral.
CUAGUGUACUAGUACUUCGCCUGCACUCAUUUGUAACACGUCACACAUACUUAUCAGAAAAAAUUAUACAGUUGUCAGUGUAAAAUAUUAUCGUGUUCACUUUUCAAUAUGGGCUUUUAUGUGUACAGUAUGGUGUGUAUUAUAUUAGCGAUACGGCUAAACAAUGAUAAAGAAGUUGUUGUUGCGACGCUAUGGAAAUCGUCGACUCAAACAAGCUGUGUUUAGAUACUUGCAGGUCCGCCGGUCCGCCGAACUGCUACUCUCACUGUUUACUUGUUUGAACACAAAUUCUUUAUCCGGUCGGCUAUUUCCGCUCCAGCUUGAUUAGCAUCUUUCAGAGCCAGUAAGUGAACAAGAUGGGAUCCGGCGAAGGUCAAGGUCGUGGCGGACUCUGCCCUGGGAUACUGUGGGGCAUCCUGUGGUUUCUCAUCUUUUGGUUCUUGGCGUGGCCGAUUGGUUUCUUCAUCGCGUGGUUGUACGUGUUCCUCCUGCCUUUCUCCGCAUGCAUAGAACCACUGAAGGGCGUCUGUGAAGCCAUUCUCAAGGUCGUCCAGCUGCCACUGACGUGCAUCGAGAACAUGAUCGCCAUGAAACCUCUGUGCGGAUAACCCACAGCGACCUUUAGUACUUAGCUUUUUACUCGUUACCCACAGACAACUAAACGAUAUAGGAUAUUCAGCUUUGAACUCAUCGGUAUAGAGUAUUUCAUUACACCGUGAAACAGGAAGUUUCUACAAGUAGACUUUUGAUCAACAGUACUGGAAAACAAACAGGACAAAAUGAUACUUUUUAAAAAAGAAAUACUAGUUAAGUAUAUUACAAAGGAAGCGACCCACUGAGAGACCAUUUUUGAACAAAACCCUAUCAGUUUAUGACGAUUUAAUCAAACUGUGAAGUAGUUUACUGCCCCUUAUUAAAACAUACGUAUAAUGCAUAUAUGUAGUGGAAACCAGUAUUAAAUACUGAUUAGCAGCGAUCAAGGUAUUGCAUUCAAACAUAGUGUCGGUUCUUGCAGAUGCUUAAGUGCUGAUUAUUUUCGGUUAACCGAGUUUCAUCACGUAUUUAUUUCAACACAGGAAACAAGAACAUGAAUGCAGAUGUAACCACAACGAGGUUUAUUGGAAACACUGGCUAUUAAAUCAUGUAUACAGUGAAUGUCAGUCGUUGAAGGUAACACGAGAGAAGCUGUUUGCUAUUCCAAGGAAGCAGACGAAUCCAAAAAUUAAAUAUAUAAAUGCAUAUACAUAUACGCUUUCGAGUGUCCGUGGUUUUAUUGGGACACGUGCUCAAUGAAUGGACAACCCAAAAUACAGCAGUAGCAUACUAAAUAGAGGUUCGUACUCCGCCUCUGUAUACUACUAUACUGUAAACCUGUACACCUAUAUGCCAUCUUAAAAACAAACUGCAAAGAAAAGUAUUUCAGUUUUAUUAGGAUUUUAUAUACGAAUAUAUUAUCUUUUGUUUAAACCAUAAACAUGCAUUCCAAAAGUAAAAUAAACUAACAAAAGUGGGUUUAAAAAAAACUAAGAAACAAAUUUUAUAGAGAAAGAAAAAUGUUUACUUUGUUAAUAUAAAUUCAGAAAAUUGGCUUUGCACCUUUGAAAAACCAUUACUUAAGGCGAACCAUUUGUAAAAACAAAAAUAUAUAAAUCACAUGGCGUAUUUUGCAAUGUCUUGGGUAUACCAACACCUAAUCAAAAACAUUAUGAACACAACUGGCGGAUCGUCACUCUUUAUUUUUUGUGCAGAUAUCUCGAACAUUUACUAUUACAUACGCAAAUCCUUCCAAUUGUGUGGGUCCACUCACCACUGGCGACGAUGGAUUUUCUCCGGUUUCUAAACUACACGACUCAUUUUCAAUAAUUAUGCAGUACACCUCAUUAGGAUAAUAAUAUCCAUAAGUGUCACUAGAAGAACAAUUUUUUAAAUUAUGUUUUUGUGUAGAAAUCUUCGAAAUGAUGUUCAUAUGUACUUUGGUAUAGUGGACAUAGUCCAAGUAUUAAGAAUCGAAGUCAUAAACAUUGCAAGUACGAAACAAAAGAACUACAUGUAAACAUUGAAACGGCCACAGAACGUGUCUUGUGUAAAUAUAUAUUAUUAUAUGAA